CGAGUGGCGAACGGGUGAGUAAUGUAUCGGAACGUACCUUUCAGUGGGGGAUAACGUAGCGAAAGUUACGCUAAUACCGCAUAUUCUGUGAGCAGGAGAGCAGGGGAUCGCAAGACCUUGCGCUGAUUGAGCGGCCGAUAUCAGAUUAGCUAGUUGGUGAGGUAAAGGCUCACCAAGGCGACGAUCUGUAGCGGGUCUGAGAGGAUGAUCCGCCACACUGGAACUGAGACACGGUCCAGACUCCUACGGGAGGCAGCAGUGGGGAAUUUUGGACAAUGGGGGCAACCCUGAUCCAGCCAUGCCGCGUGAGUGAAGAAGGCCUUCGGGUUGUAAAGCUCUUUCGUCCGGGAAGAAAUCGCAUCAGCUAAUACCUGGUGUGGAUGACGGUACCGGAAUAAGAAGCACCGGCUA
Molecule: ribosomal RNA, 411 nt
Filed under: uncultured bacterium
Lineage: Bacteria
Description: bacterial SSU rRNA
Rfam family: Bacterial small subunit ribosomal RNA
Source: RNAcentral